AGAGUUCGUUCCUGGCUCAGAUUGAACGCUGGCGGCAGGCCUAACACUUGCAAGUCGAGCGGUAGAGAGAAGCUUGCUUUUCUUGAGAGCGGCGGACGGGUGAGUAAUGCCUAGGAAUCUGCCUGGUAGUGGGGGAUAACGUUCGGAAACGGACGCUAAUACCGCAUACGUCCUACGGGAGAAAGCAGGGGACCUUCGGGCCUUGCGCUAUCAGAUGAGCCUAGGUCGGAUUAGCUAGUUGGUGAGGUAAUGGCUCACCAAGGCGACGAUCCGUAACUGGUCUGAGAGGAUGAUCAGUCACACUGGAACUGAGACACGGUCCAGACUCCUACGGGAGGCAGCAGUGGGGAAUAUUGGACAAUGGGCGAAAGCCUGAUCCAGCCAUGCCGCGUGUGUGAAGAAGGUCUUCGGAUUGUAAAGCACUUUAAGUUGGGAGGAAGGGCAGUAAAUUAAUACUUUGCUGUUUUGACGUUACCGACAGAAUAAGCACCGGCUAACUCUGUGCCAGCAGCCGCGGUAAUACAGAGGGUGCAAGCGUUAAUCGGAAUUACUGGGCGUAAAGCGCGCGUAGGUGGUUUGUUAAGUUGGAUGUGAAAUCCCCGGGCUCAACCUGGGAACUGCAUUCAAAACUGACUGACUAGAGUAUGGUAGAGGGUGGUGGAAUUUCCUGUGUAGCGGUGAAAUGCGUAGAUAUAGGAAGGAACACCAGUGGCGAAGGCGACCACCUGGACUAAUACUGACACUGAGGUGCGAAAGCGAGGGGAGCAAACAGGAUUAGAUACCCUGGUAGUCCACGCCGUAAACGAUGUCAACUAGCCGUUGGAAGCCUUGAGCUUUUAGUGGCGCAGCUAACGCAUUAAGUUGACCGCCUGGGGAGUACGGCCGCAAGGUUAAAACUCAAAUGAAUUGACGGGGGCCCGCACAAGCGGUGGAGCAUGUGGUUUAAUUCGAAGCAACGCGAAGAACCUUACCAGGCCUUGACAUCCAAUGAACUUUCUAGAGAUAGAUUGGUGCCUUCGGGAACAUUGAGACAGGUGCUGCAUGGCUGUCGUCAGCUCGUGUCGUGAGAUGUUGGGUUAAGUCCCGUAACGAGCGCAACCCUUGUCCUUAGUUACCAGCACGUCAUGGUGGGCACUCUAAGGAGACUGCCGGUGACAAACCGGAGGAAGGUGGGGAUGACGUCAAGUCAUCAUGGCCCUUACGGCCUGGGCUACACACGUGCUACAAUGGUCGGUACAGAGGGUUGCCAAGCCGCGAGGUGGAGCUAAUCCCACAAAACCGAUCGUAGUCCGGAUCGCAGUCUGCAGCUCGACUGCGUGAAGUCGGAAUCGCUAGUAAUCGCGAAUCAGAAUGUCGCGGUGAAUACGUUAACGGGCCUUGUACACCCCGCCCGUC
RNAcentral lists this ribosomal RNA (1395 nucleotides) under uncultured bacterium. Its description in RNAcentral is "bacterial SSU rRNA". It matches the Rfam family "Bacterial small subunit ribosomal RNA". The record is from RNAcentral.